RNAcentral lists this transfer RNA (82 nucleotides) under Tupiella akineta. Its description in RNAcentral is "tRNA-Leu". Lineage: Eukaryota; Viridiplantae; Chlorophyta; Ulvophyceae; Ulotrichales; Tupiellaceae. The record is from RNAcentral.
ACGAAGUUGGCGAAAUUGGCAGACGCAGUGGGUUUAGGUUCCAUGCCUUAGGGCACUAUCAGUUCGAGUCUGAUACUUCGUA